Molecule: transfer RNA, 89 nt
Filed under: Muribaculaceae bacterium
Lineage: Bacteria; Pseudomonadati; Bacteroidota; Bacteroidia; Bacteroidales; Muribaculaceae
Description: tRNA-Ser
Rfam family: tRNA
About the family: Transfer RNA (tRNA) molecules are approximately 80 nucleotides in length. Their secondary structure includes four short double-helical elements and three loops (D, anti-codon, and T loops). Further hydrogen bonds mediate the characteristic L-shaped molecular structure. tRNAs have two regions of fundamental functional importance: the anti-codon, which is responsible for specific mRNA codon recognition, and the 3' end, to which the tRNAs corresponding amino acid is attached (by aminoacyl-tRNA synthetases). tRNAs cope with the degeneracy of the genetic code in two manners: having more than one tRNA (with a specific anti-codon) for a particular amino acid; and 'wobble' base-pairing, i.e. permitting non-standard base-pairing at the 3rd anti-codon position.
Source: RNAcentral
GGAGCAGUGCCGUAAAGGUAGCGGAGAAGAUUGCUAAUCUUUCCAUCUUGUAAUGAGGUGUGCAGGUUCGAUUCCUGCCUGCUCCGCCA